This 358-nucleotide ribosomal RNA is filed under the name uncultured bacterium. RNAcentral describes it as "bacterial SSU rRNA". It matches the Rfam family "Bacterial small subunit ribosomal RNA", at positions 917 to 1272 of the family's 1533-position model. The record is from RNAcentral.
GGACCCGCACAAGUAGUGGAGCAUGUGGUUUAAUUCGAAGAUACGCGCAGAACCUUACCAACACUUGACAUGUUCGUCGCGACUUUAAGAGAUUAAAGUUUUCGGUUCGGCCGGACGAAACACAGGUGCUGCAUGGCUGUCGUCAGCUCGUGUCGUGAGAUGUUGGUUAAGUCCCGCAACGAGCGCAACCCUCACUUUUAGUUGCCAUCAUUAAGUUGGGCACUCUGAAAAGAACUGCCAGUGAUAAGCUGGAGGAAGGUGGGGAUGACGUCAAGUCCUCAUGGCCCUUACGUGUUGGGCUACACACGUGCUACAAUGGUAUCUACAACAGGAAGCAAGACGGUGACGUCAAGCAAAA